RNAcentral lists this long non-coding RNA (885 nucleotides) under Homo sapiens (human). Its description in RNAcentral is "HSALNT0378808". The record is from RNAcentral. Lineage: Eukaryota; Metazoa; Chordata; Mammalia; Primates; Hominidae.
AGGCGUUUGCGGCCCAGCGCCUGGACUGGACCUUGGCGUUGGGCCGCAGUUGCCCGGAGUUUUUGGGGCCCCCGGGAACCCGCGCGCCGAGGCCGGCUAAGUUUGGCAGACUCUCUGAGCUCUCGGAAUUCGACUGCCUCCAUUGUUGCUCCUUCUGGCACCCACAGACCGUAACGUGGCCGUCGGAACCGCGCACCACAGCUUGAAGCUAGGAAUUAAAAUAUCGGUGGGAAUUAAAUAAGUGGCUGGCUUAAAGAACAUCUUCUUAAUUUAUCCCCAAAUGUAGACAUCUCUUCAGUGGACCCCCUGAUAGGCCGGUUUGCUCCAGAAGAGACGGGGUUUCACCAUGUUGGCCAUGAUGGUCUCGAUUUCUGACCUUGUCAUCCGUCCGCCUUGGCCUCCCAAAGUGCUGGGAUUACGGGCGUGAGCCACCGUACCCAGCCUGCUUCCUGUUUUAACAGACGAAGAAAUGGAAUAACUUCCAACAACACAGGUUGGAGCUGAAGGAGUGCCCAGGCUGCGGAUGGAGGAAGGACGUGCUCGGGAGAAGGUGAAGAUGGGAGAGAAGCAAGAUCUUCUGUGUUUGGACCAAGGACACAUUUCCUUACUCCAUAGCAGCUGUGGUCAGUGGCUUAGCUCGGACAAGGAGAUGAGAGCCCAUGUGUUGUGAGGGUUCUUCUGGGAACUCUGAGAAGGCAGGAGCCGCCCCCGCCCUUCACUGCCUCUCUUCCAUUCUGCAGCAUGGAAUAUGGAUGUGUGGUCUGGAUGUACAGACACCAUUUUGGACCAUAAAGACAAGGACGAUUGUCUAAGGAUGACACAGCCAGAGCACUGAGAGUGGCGAGAAGGACAGGGGAGCUGCUGUGCCAAGCAGGACUGUCUCUC